CUUGCGUUGAGUGAGUGCGCCGCUCUCCAGCCCGCUUGAACGCUCCCCGCAGCCACCGCCACCCAUUGGAAUGGCCAACAGGGGACCUGCGUAUGGCCUGAGCCGGGAGGUGCAGCAGAAGAUUGAGAAACAAUAUGAUGCAGAUCUGGAGCAGAUCCUGAUCCAGUGGAUCACCACUCAGUGCCGAAAGGAUGUGGGCCGGCCCCAGCCUGGACGCGAGAACUUCCAGAACUGGCUCAAGGAUGGCACGGUGCUAUGUGAGCUCAUUAAUGCACUGUACCCCGAGGGGCAGGCCCCAGUAAAGAAGAUCCAGGCCUCCACCAUGGCCUUCAAGCAGAUGGAGCAGAUCUCUCAGUUCCUUCAAGCAGCUGAGCGCUAUGGCAUUAACACCACUGACAUCUUCCAAACUGUGGACCUCUGGGAAGGAAAGAACAUGGCCUGUGUGCAGCGGACGCUGAUGAAUCUGGGUGGGCUGGCAGUAGCCCGGGAUGAUGGGCUCUUCUCUGGGGAUCCCAACUGGUUCCCUAAGUAAGUAUUGCUGGGACAGCCGCAGGGUCCAGCAGGUGCAUUGUUUCUGCCCAGUCCUGUCCCUGGGAAAUAACCUAUCUCAGUAGCAGCUGGCCCUUUACAAAGCACUUUCAGAAAAUUCCUCAUCUCACUUAAUCCUCACAACACCCUCUGGGAUGGCAAAUGACUGUCCCUUUGGACAGAUGAGGAGGUGGCUUCAGAGAGCUUAUGGCUCUUGAGGGCAGAGCUGGCACCAGCAGCAAAGUCUGUGCUCUGUCCAAGGAAGGGAUUUACUAGGGCAGCCUGUGAUCUCCUCUAACCACCACUCCCUUGUCACCCAGGAAAUCCAAGGAGAAUCCUCGGAACUUCUCGGAUAACCAGCUGCAAGAGGGCAAGAACGUGAUCGGGUUACAGAUGGGCACCAACCGUGGGGCGUCUCAGGCAGGCAUGACUGGCUACGGGAUGCCACGCCAGAUCCUCUGAUCCUACCCCAGGCCUUGCCCCUGCCCUCCCACGAAUGGUUAAUAUAUAU
Molecule: small RNA, 1039 nt
Filed under: Pongo abelii (Sumatran orangutan)
Lineage: Eukaryota; Metazoa; Chordata; Mammalia; Primates; Hominidae
Description: processed transcript
Source: RNAcentral